GGACUACUGGGGUAUCUAAUCCUGUUUGCUCCCCACGCUUUCGCACAUGAGCGUCAGUAUUGGUCCAGGAAGUCGCUUUCGCCACUGAUGUUCCUUCCGAUAUCUACGCAUUUCACCGCUACACCGGAAAUUCCACUUCCCUCUCCCAUACUCUAGCAAUGCAGUCUCGAAUGCAGUUCCCAGGUUAAGCCUGGGGAUUUCACACCCGACUUGCAAAGCCGCCUACGCGCGCUUUACGCCCAGUAAUUCCGAUUAACGCUCGCACCCUCUGUAUUACCGCGGCUGCUGGCAC
RNAcentral lists this ribosomal RNA (292 nucleotides) under uncultured bacterium. RNAcentral describes it as "partial 16S ribosomal RNA". RNAcentral also lists the same sequence under 1 other name. The record is from RNAcentral.